CAUUGACACAACAGGAAUAUUUCGUCUCUUUCAAGAAGUAUGCUUUCGUUUGGGAGGGUUGGAAUUCGGAUAUCGAAAUUUUGGUUCGUAUCAUAGGCGAUGAAAGAACCAUCGGAGACGAAGCACCCUAACACCACGGAAAGGAACUCGAAAACGAAAGGGAAGAACAACAAUUUUGAGUUUUGUAAAGUAUGCAAGCUCAAUCACAAUCUAGGUCGCCGCCAUAACUACCUUCCUAACCACGUCAAAUCGCUCUCAACUUUCCUAUCUCGAUUUCAGUCCAAACUCUCCGAUGUACGGCUUUUUCUUAAGAACCCUAACUUACUUCGUCCAGAGCUUGCGUCUCGCAAUAGGUUUUGGUGCGUCUUUUGCGAUUCUGAUGUUGCGGAGAACGACAGUUCUUUUGCCUGCAUUCUAGUGACUCUAGACGGGCUUGACCAUUUACACGAACAAAGCUGUAGAACGUUAGCGGAUUUUUGGAUUGAAAAUGCAAUUAGCCAUCUUGCAAGUGCAGAUCACUUGAAAAACUUAAAAAGUUUUAUGUGGAAACAUGGUGGGGGAAUGGAUCGAAUUGAUGGUUUCCGGAUUUCAGAGGCAGAUAUUGCUAAGUAUGAAAAGAAGUGCAUAUCAAUGAAGAAGGAAUGUGCUAAUGAACAAUCUCAUGGCCCUAUGAUUGGACCUUCAAAUGAUAUCCACAAUGAACUGAAAUUUGAUUAUGUAGAUAACUUUGACAGACAUAAUUCAAGUUUUCUAAAUGGUGUUUCACCUUUACAAUAUCAUACAAAUGAGAAAUAUCAGGUAUCCCAUUCAGAUAUGUCUGGAGGUUAUGAUGACAAAUUGUUGCUGUUGGGUUCAAAUGCAAAGCGUUCAAGUAACUUAAAAGGUAAUGCAGGCAAAAGCUGCUUAAAUGAAGGUUAUCCUGACAAUAAACCGGGGAAGAUAUGCCAGGUAUAUGCACAUAACAGGGAAGCUAAUGGGGAUGAUAGUUCAUUAGGUUUGCAGAAGCUCACUCGAAUUUCUUCUACAGUCCAUGAAACGGACACCGGAAACGUGCAUUCCGGAGCACCCCCUCCUUGGUUUAAUGCAAAGAAUGGAAUUCAUGUUGAUCCUGGAAUGGAAACAGAUCCUGUGAUAAAACCUGUAAAAUCAAAGUUAAAUCCUAAAAGGGUUGGAGCUGCUUGGGCUGAAAAAAGAAAGAUAGAAAUGGAGAUGGAGAGAAAUGGGGAACUACCUGCUAAGAGAUUUGAUGGCAGCUGGCUUCCAAAUUUCGGUAGAGUAUGGCAAUCAGGAAGCAGAAAAGACUCCCGGAAAGAAUUUCAGGUGGAAACCAAGAAACCUCUCAAGGAUGAAAAAAAUCAUUCUGAUGAUUCAUCGUUGCAAUUGCAGCCUUAUAUAAGCAAACGAAUGCGCAGAGAAGCCAAUGAAUGAUUGCUUCUGCUAUGAUGACUUUGUAUUUUGAUGAGUAUAAAUUUCAGAGGCAAAAUGAGAAAUUGGUGGAUUGGAACUGACAACUCAUAGGACACAAGAAAUUGUUGAAGGUGGAACAGAAAUUCUAGACGAAAGAGAUUAUCAACUUAAAUAGAGCGUGCAAAAGGCGUCAAUUCAAUGUGGUAAACUGGUUUUGGGCAAAUAAUUGGUAGAAACUGCACUUGGUUAUGCACUAUAUUGGGGCCUCUAUUCAUUUUCUCAAGAUCCGGCUUUUCUACAAACACGCUGCUAUGAGACAUUAUAUGAUAACACAAAUGAAUGCUCAUGGUCAACUACCUCAUCCUCCAUCUUUUCUACCAUCAUUUGCAUCCGGUGGUGAUGAUGAUCUUUUAACAUAAUUUGAUCCUCUUUCAACUACCUCCUCCUCUUGGACAACACUACUUGAUGCUCUACUUUCUGCUGCUCCAGUAAGAGAUUAAAAGAUUCCCCAAUUUUCCUCCCCAUCAACUACUUUUGAAUCAAAUUCUUGUAAGUCGCCUGCUACGGUUUAACACCACAUGUGUUGGUCAUUUCAACAAGCACCUUGUGGCUUGUGUGUGUGCGCCAAUGGUCAUGUUUUGGCAAAAAGUCCGUUUACUAAAACAUCUAAAAGAUUUGCAUCAGCCUAACAGUUUCUCGAUCAUAUUUACAGAAAAGAUCAGAGCUUUA
Non-coding RNA from Lactuca sativa (garden lettuce), 2136 nucleotides. NCBI's taxonomy places the organism in Eukaryota, Viridiplantae, Streptophyta, Magnoliopsida, Asterales, Asteraceae. The record is from RefSeq and is a predicted model, not a curated record.